This 439-nucleotide ribosomal RNA is filed under the name uncultured prokaryote. Its description in RNAcentral is "bacterial SSU rRNA". It matches the Rfam family "Bacterial small subunit ribosomal RNA", at positions 355 to 796 of the family's 1533-position model. The record is from RNAcentral.
UCGAGAAUCUUCGGCAAUGGACGAAAGUCUGACCGAGCAAUGCCGCGUGCGGGAUGAAGGCCCUCGGGUUGUAAACCGCGAAAGUAAGGAGGAAGGCUCCGUGAAGAGCGGAGUUUGACCGAUUUACAGUAAGGACGGGCUAAGUUCGUGCCAGCAGCCGCGGUAAGACGAACCGUCCAAACGUUAUUCGGAAUUAUUGGGCUUAAAGGGUGCGUAGGCGGCGCUAUAAGUCGGGUGUGAAAUCCCACGGCUCAACCGUGGAACUGCGCCCGAUACUGUGGUGCUCGAGGGAGACAGAGGUAAGCGGAACUGAUGGUGGAGCGGUGAAAUGCGUUGAUAUCAUCAGGAACACCAGUGGCGAAAGCGGCUUACUGGGUCUCUUCUGACGCUGAGGCACGAAAGCUAGGGUAGCGAACGGGAUUAGAUACCCCCGUAGUCC